Molecule: ribosomal RNA, 253 nt
Filed under: uncultured bacterium
Lineage: Bacteria
Description: partial 16S ribosomal RNA
Rfam family: Bacterial small subunit ribosomal RNA
Source: RNAcentral
UACGGAGGGUCCAAGCGUUAUCCGGAUUUAUUGGGUUUAAAGGGUGCGUAGGCGGUUUAUUAAGUCAGUGGUUAAAGCCCGGAGCUCAACUUCGGAACUGCCAUUGAUACUGAUAGACUUGAGUACAGAUGAAGUGGGCGGAAUGUGACAAGUAGCGGUGAAAUGCUUAGAUAUGUCACAGAACACCGAUUGCGAAGGCAGCUCACUAAAGUGUAACUGACGCUGAGGCACGAAAGCGUGGGGAUCAAACAGG